RNAcentral lists this transfer RNA (70 nucleotides) under Diaphorina citri (Asian citrus psyllid). It matches the Rfam family "tRNA". From Rfam's summary of the family: Transfer RNA (tRNA) molecules are approximately 80 nucleotides in length. The record is from Rfam by way of RNAcentral. Lineage: Eukaryota; Metazoa; Arthropoda; Insecta; Hemiptera; Psyllidae.
GCCUCUGUGGCCGAGUGGUCAAGAGCACUCUUAACCUGGAGGUGCUGGGUUCGAAUCCCAGCCAGAGGCA